RNAcentral lists this ribosomal RNA (253 nucleotides) under uncultured bacterium. Its description in RNAcentral is "partial 16S ribosomal RNA". It matches the Rfam family "Bacterial small subunit ribosomal RNA", at positions 524 to 776 of the family's 1533-position model. The record is from RNAcentral.
GACGUAGGGGGCGAGCGCUACCCGGAGUCACUGGGCGUAAAGGGCGUGUAGGCGGCUGGGUACGCCGCGUGUGAAAGUCCCCGGCUCAACCGGGGAGGGUCGCGCGGGACGGCCUGGCUCGAGGGCGGGAGAGGCGGGUGGAAUUUCGGGUGUCGCGGUGAAAUGCGUAGAGAUCGGGAGGAACGCCGGUGUCGAAGGCGGCCCGCUGGCUAGCCGCUGACGCUGAGGCGCGAAGGCGUGGGGUGCGAACCGG